UAGUAGAAGCAGACAAAUCCGGAAGUUGAAGGAUAAACAUGGCAGCAAGCAUAAGUGUCAAACAGGGACUGGCGCGCGGUAAACAUGCCCUCUUCUUCCCCGUCCAAAGAACAACAUCUCCCGGCAGCGAGUUUCGGAGCGUGAGGGCCGCAGCCAGCGCCACAGCGCUACAAAACGAGAAGUUCUGCUUGGAGCUCGUCAGGUCCAGGGACUACGAGGGCUUUGUGUGCUCCCUCCUGCUGCCAGAGGGGGCGCGUCGCUCCGCCCUGGCUUUGAGAGCCUUCAAUGUGGAACUAGCACAGGUGAAGGACUCUGUCUCACAGAAGACGCUGGGUUUAAUGCGAAUGCAGUUCUGGAAGACGGCGGUAGAAGAAAUUUACCGAGACAAACCUCCGAACCAGCCAGUCAGUAACGAGCUAUGGAGGGUGGUGAGGAAGCAUAGGCUGACAAAGAGAUGGCUGUCGAGGAUUAUAACAGAGAGAGAAAAUGAUCUGGACGACAGAGCCUACAGAAACCUGCAGGAGCUGGAGUCGUACGCUGAGAACACACAGUCGUCGCUCUUGUACCUGCUCCUGGAGUCUUUGGGAGUGAAAGACGUCCACGCCGACCAUGCGGCGAGUCACAUCGGGAAGGCGCAUGGCAUUGUGACGUGUCUGAGAGCGACGCCUCAUCACAGCGCACGGCGGAGAGUUUUCUUGCCCAUGGACAUCUGCAUGCUGCAUGGCGCUUCCCAAGAGGACAUCAUCCGUGGUAGCCGCGAGCAGAACGUCCGGGAUGUGGUGUACGACAUCGCCAGUCAGGCUCACGUUCAUCUGCAACAUGCGCGAUCAUUUGGCCCCAGCAUCCCGGCAGCUGCGACUCCGGCCUUCCUCCACACGGUAGUGUUGGAGGACUACCUGCAAAGGGUGAGAAAGGUGGAUUUUGACAUCUUCCACCCAAGCCUGCAGAAAAGGAACCCCCUUCUUCCCAUCCAGCUGUAUCUGCGCUCCUGGAAGAAGACCUACUGACCCUUUUCUAGAACAACCUGCAGUGCACGUAGACUUAAAGAAAUGGUGGACAUUUAGGUUGCUGCACACAUUAAAGGACCCAAGCUUCCUCAGGAAAAAGAGUCUGCUCAUACCCUUCUUGGAAACUGCUUUGCUGUUGUCAUUCCAGUCCAGUCCAGUAUUAUGCAAAAGCAAAAUUUUGCAAAAUUUUGUUACCUUCUGGUACCUCCUGAUCUGUAUUUGGGAUUUGCAUAAAUCCUGAAAAAUUGAGCGCAUUCGCCUUUAUAGUCCGUGUUGACACCGUAGUCGAUAAGCUUCUUCUUUUUCUCUAUGUUCUUGUUAUGGAAAAUUCAUCCUCCACUGUUGCCAUUUCUAAUAUAAAAUAAUGUAAAGUUGUUACUUAUAUCUGUCCGUAAACUCGCCAUGAAUGCGCUAAAACAUACUGGUGUUGUGAGUUUGCAUUAUUCACCCAAGGAACCUUAGUUAUUUGAGCGUUCCGGUCGCACGGUUUUUCACAGGACACAUUUCCGGUGUUGUUUCCAGAUGAGGAGAUGCUGCUCAGUUAUUUGUUGAAGUAAAGUCUGAAUGUCAUUAAAACAGUAAGCUCCAUCUUUUGACACUUCUUCCACUCCCGUCCUUGCACGCUACACCGCUAAAACAAAGAUGACGGGGAGAAGACGUUGUGGAAGGUGAGCCACGUAAAUAAGACCGCCCACUAAAUGGCGCACCCUGAAGCGACUGUCAGAAAGCGGCUUAAAGAUGAUCUGUAAAACAUCAUCUAUGUAACAUUUUGACCAAAGAGCCACCAUUACAUGGUAUGUAGACCACAAGGAAGUGUUUUCCAUUAAAAAAAUAAAAUAAUAAUAUGACUCCUUUAAUGUGUCCUAUUAUCCGAAGCCUAACAUAUGAAAAAAGACCAUUCAUCGGCAUUGCACCUUGUAAUCCUGUGCGCCCUAUGGUCCGGAAAAUACGGUAAUUGCGACUAAUCACAUUUUGUCCAGUUAAACAUUAUUCACAAAUAUAUUUUUUUAAUCUUUAAUAAGUGUACCUUAUUAAAAUGUACAACCAACAUGGAACUGGACAAUUCAUAUAACUUAGGGCUGUUAAACGAUAAAAAGAUUUAAAGGCCUACUGAAAUGAGAUGUUCUUAUUUAAACGGGAAUAGUAGGUCCAUUCUAUGUGUCAUACUUGAUCAUUUCGCGAUAUUGCCAUAUUUUUGCUGAAAGAAUUUAGUAGAGAACAUCGACAAUAAAGUUUGCAAAUUUUGGUCGCUAAUAGAAAAGCCCUGCCUUUACCGGAAGUAUGUGUGCGUGACGUCACGAGUUGCAGGGCUCCACACAUAUUCACAUUGUUUUUAAUGGGAGCCACCAGCAAUAAGAGCAAUUCGGACCGAGAAAGCGACAAUUUCCCCAUUAAUUUGAGCGAGGAUGAAAGAUUUGUGAAUUAGGAUAUAAAUAGUGAAGGACAAGAAGAAAAAAAAAGCGGGGCAGUGUGAGCGUUUCAGAUGUAAUUAGCACAUUUACUUGGAUAAUUCUGGAAGAUCCCUUAUCUGCUUAUUGUUUUAAUAGUGUUUUAGUGAGAUUUUAAAGAUUGUAAAGACAUACCUCGAGGUCGGAUGGCUGCGGUGAACACGCAGUGUCUCAGAGAGAAGGCGAGGAGCCAAGCUCACAGCUGUUGCGGGACUACGAAUAAUCCAAUGAUUUCUCCGGUAAGAUAUAUAUCACAAUUUCCCCAUCCAAAAACAUGCUUGUUGACGUAGAGAAAACAUGUUCGCUUGACCGCUCUGUGUUAAAGCUUCACAACAAAGAAAGAAACACAGGCUGUCUCGGUGCUAAAGACACCUGCAAUCCACCGCUUUCCACCAACAGCAUUCUUCUUUAUAGUCUCCAUUAUUAAAUGAACAAAUUGCAAAAGAUUCAGCAACACAGAUGUUUGUGUAAUUACGCCAUGAACAGAGAUGACUUUUAGCCGUGUUUGGUGCAGUGCUAAUAUUUCCUUACAGUCCGUGAAGUCACGCGUACGCGUCAUCAGUCCGCGACGUUUUCAACAAGAAACUCGCGGGAAAUUUAAAAUUGCAAUUUAGUAAACUAAAAAGGCCGUAUUGGCAUGUGUUGCAAUGUUAAUAUUUCAUCAUUGAUAUAUAAACUAUCAGACUGCGUGGUCUGUAGUAGUGGGUUUCAGUAGGCCUUUAAUUGUGAUUGUGUAAUUUAAGACUCGACCAGAAGAAAAUAAUUUGCACAAUAUUUCAGCCAGCCAGAAAAAUCCCCACCCCAUAUUCCUAAACUGAUGUUCUAGCAUUUCUUUUGGUGAAAAUAUCACAGAAUGACAAAAAAAAAAAACUUCUCUGAGAAAGCAUGAUUGUAUUGUAAGACAUUUUUAUUUUGUUCACGUCAGGGUUUCCCCAAAAUUGCCAAAAUACUUGUGGGGGGGGGGGUUAGUGUGGUCGAUAUGACGACAUCGCAUGAUUUGCUAUAGAAUAGAAUAGAAAGUACUUUAUUGAUCUCUUGGGGAAAUUCAGUACCACAGUUCGCUCACAAUAAACAACAAACACUUGGGUAUUUUUUUUUUCAUGUGAAUAAUAUAAAUACAGUCUAUCAUACGACAUUAUUCACAUGUGAAUGAUAUACUUACAGUCUGUUAUAUAGCAUGAUUCAAAUGUGAAUAAUAUAAAUACAGUCCAUUAUACAGCUUUUUCACAUGUGAAUAACAUCAACACAGUCUAUUAUAGAGCUGAUUCACAUGUGAAUAAUAUAAAUACAGUCUAUUAAAUAAACACAUUGAAUAGACACAUUAAAUAUACAUAAGACUGUAUUUAUAUUAUUCACAUGUGAAUAAUGCUGUUUAAUAGACUGUAUUUAUAUUAUUCACAUGUGAAUAAUGCUGUUUAAUAGACUAUUUAUAUUAUUCACAUUUGAAUAAUGCUGUUUAAUAGACUGUAUUUAUAUUAUUCACAUGUGAAUAAUGCUGUAUAAUAGACUGUAUUUACACUGUUCACAUGUGAAUAAUGUUGUAUAAUAGACUAUUAUACAUUCAUAUAUUAUGUAUGUGAAUAAUGUUGUAUGAUAGACUCUAUUAUACAGCAUUAUUCACAUGUGAAUAAUAUAAAUACAGUCUAUUUGUCAUGCCUGUUAAUCUGGGUUUAUGUUUGAUCAUGUUAUGUUUUUGGACUCGUUUCCCGUGUUUGCACUUCCUGGUUUUGUUUGUUUCCAUAGUUACUCAAUAGUUUCCACCUGGUCUACAAGUCAUGCCCCUGUCCUCAGCCUCACACCUGUUAGUAAUCAUCUUCACAGUCAUUAUUUAUACCAUUCUGUUUCUGUCCUCGGCCUGGGAACUUUGUGCUUACUACUUGCUACAUGCCUGUGUACUUGCUUUACCUACCUGAAUUUGUAUCGAACCCUGAUGACCACACACUUGCCUUGCCACGCUGAUUAUUGAUUUGACCACAGCACGUAAGAUCAUGUUUAUAUUUAUGCCUCUAUGCAAAUUUUUUUGGGGGGGGUUUGUUUUGUACCAUUGAUAGUAUCUUUUGUUUAUUUGUAUAUACUCAUGCCAUUGUGCUGGUUUGUUUGGAGUUUAGUAUAGAUUAUCUGCCACUGAGCGCGCCCUUUGUUUUCCCUUUUUGUAUUAUAGUGUGUAAAUAAAUUAAUCAUGUACUCACAUUCUCGCCUAGCUCGUUAUCAAAUUCCCUCUGCUUCGAAGAAGCAAAACUAAUCCAAGUCAUAUUCCUGACACUAUUAUACAGCAUUAUUCACAUGUGAAUAAUAUAAACACAGAAUUGUAAAAUAAGUCUUUUAAAUACUGCCGUUUCAUCUAAAUUUGCUUUAGCAAUGAAAAAGUAGGUACUUUUAAGUCCCAGUCUCACGGUGCCGUGUGCCAUACCUUGUCAGCAGCAACGUUGACAACACUUGCAGACGUUUUGUCAUUUCACCCCUAUGUGCCAAAGUAAACUUAUCAUCCAUGCCCGUGGCAAAUGAGACCCGCUUGGAGGCUUUAAGUAGCUUUCAAAGACUUUAAUGGCUCCUUGAGAAAUGCUCACCUGAUUGAGUCCGAGGGGUAUUCAGGGGUCAAGGCAGCGGUGUCGCGCACGUCAGUGUAAUUGCUGAGAAAAGCUGGAGUCGCCCUUGACGCUGCGGCUUCUGGCUUCGCGCCCUUGUUUUGACUCGCCACCUUGCAGACCACGACGGCCUCGCCGGUUCAUCAGUUCAUUCGGGUUUUUCUUCCUCAUCACGUCGCUGGGCAGGAACAAGAGGUCACAACAUGGAACACCUCAAGUAUGAUGGUGGGAGGCAGCUAGGUCAGUACGAGCUUUUAUAACGCCACAUUUUCCUCACUUUUCCCGUCCUCAAGCUUGCGAGGUGUCUAAAGUUUUUCCACUAAGGGGCGGACACUGAAAAGUUAAGCCAUACGGGGGAUAUUUUGGGAACCUGAAAGGGUGGCAGUCAUAAUUAUAAAAAAAAAAAAAAUUGUCUAAGUUAUAAUUGUUUUUUAAAAAUAAAUUAUAUGUAUGUAUUUUAGGGGUAUGAAAAAAAAAAUAUUUGAAUUAAUACGUAAUCAAUUAUUUGAAAGAAAUAUAUAUAUAUUUUUUUUUAAAUCUGUUCCGUCCAUCCACUGAGAAGUCAUAUUGUUGAUGUAGAUGAUCAUAUCUGCUGUACAUAUUUACUUUAUUAAAUACAAGUUUUGGAUA
Molecule: RNA transcript, 5670 nt
Organism: Nerophis ophidion (straightnose pipefish)
Lineage: Eukaryota; Metazoa; Chordata; Actinopteri; Syngnathiformes; Syngnathidae
Gene: ndufaf6
Gene name: NADH:ubiquinone oxidoreductase complex assembly factor 6
Exons: 10
Source: RefSeq, a predicted model, not a curated record